GACCGCUUAGCUCAACGGUAGAGUGUCUGGUUUACAUCCAGAAGGUUGGUGGUUCAAAUCCACCAGCGGUCACCA
RNAcentral lists this transfer RNA (75 nucleotides) under Candidatus Shapirobacteria bacterium CG09_land_8_20_14_0_10_38_17. RNAcentral describes it as "tRNA-Val". It matches the Rfam family "tRNA". Rfam says of the family: Transfer RNA (tRNA) molecules are approximately 80 nucleotides in length. Their secondary structure includes four short double-helical elements and three loops (D, anti-codon, and T loops). The record is from RNAcentral. Lineage: Bacteria; Candidatus Shapironibacteriota.